CUGAAUAACUAUGCUGAUCGCACAGUCCUCGUACUGGCGACGUAUCUUUCAAAUGUCUGCCUUAUCAACUUUCGACGGUAGUUUACACGGCUACCGUGGUUUUCACGGGUAACGGAGAAUUAGGGUUCGACUCCGGAGAGGGAGCCUGAGAAACGGCUACCACAUCCAAGGAAGGCAGCAGGCACGCAAAUUACCCACUCCCGGCACGGGGAGGUAGUGACGAAAAAUAGCGAGACGGUUCUCUAAGAGGCCCGUCAUCGAAAUGGGUACAAUUUAAAUCCUUUAACGAGGAUCUAUUGGAGGGCAAGUCUGGUGCCAGCAGCCGCGGUAAUUCCAGCUCCAAAAGCGUAUAUUAAAGUUGUUGCGGUUAAAAAG
Molecule: ribosomal RNA, 375 nt
Filed under: Nematoda sp.
Lineage: Eukaryota; Metazoa; Nematoda
Description: SSU rRNA
Rfam family: Eukaryotic small subunit ribosomal RNA
Source: RNAcentral